UCAAACUUGGUCAUUUAGAGGAAGUAAAAGUCGUAACAAGGUAACCGUAGGUGAACCUGCGGUUGGAUCAUUAAUAAAUUUAAACAAUGUAAAGUGACUUUUUCUUUUUUAUCUUGCGGUUUAACUGUAGGAUAAGGGAAAGAGUUCAUUUUCAUUACACCCCAUUGUGCACCUUUGUGUAUGUAUUUUUGGGUAUCGGAAGUUUAUUAAUUUAAGCUAGUAAAUCUAACCUUUAAACGGGUUAGGCCGACCCCAAAAAAAGGUUUUGAAAGAAACCUUAACCUUAAGCCUAUGUGAUAAAACUUUUGUCUUUAAUAAUUUUGUUUCUUAAAAAAAUUAAAAAACAACUUUUGACAACGGAUCUCUAGGCUCUCGCAUCGAUGAAGAACGCAGC
RNAcentral lists this unclassified non-coding RNA (394 nucleotides) under uncultured fungus. RNAcentral describes it as "partial contains small subunit ribosomal RNA, internal transcribed spacer 1, and 5.8S ribosomal RNA". The stretch from base 1 to 73 matches the Rfam family "Eukaryotic small subunit ribosomal RNA", at positions 1759 to 1831 of the family's 1831-position model. The record is from RNAcentral. Lineage: Eukaryota; Fungi.